This is a non-coding RNA of Elaeis guineensis (African oil palm), 2780 nucleotides long. NCBI's taxonomy places the organism in Eukaryota, Viridiplantae, Streptophyta, Magnoliopsida, Arecales, Arecaceae. The record is from RefSeq and is a predicted model, not a curated record.
UUGAUUCAGUUGUGGAUUGCAGAAGGGUUCAUUCAACCAUCGGAUAAUAAUAUGGAUUUAGAGGAUAUCGGCAAUCAGUUUUUCAAUAAUUUGCUAUGGAGGCCUUUUUUCAGGAUGCAAAGAUGGAUUCUGAUGGUAACGUGACCGUAUGCAAGAUGCAUGAUCUAGUCCAUGAUCUUGCUUGCUGUGUCAUAGGUGAUGAGGCCAUGAUCAUGGAGGUGGGCAAGGACACAAGCAUUUCUUGUCGAUGUCGCUAUUCAUCAGUUGUUUCUAAUGACAACAUAUCAUCAGAAUGUUUACAGGUUGCCUACAAAACAAAGAAAUCGAGAUCACUUGUAUUUUUGCAGCUUGACUUCAAUGAUGUAAUCAUCAAAGAAUCCAUCUUCUACAGAGUCUCAAAUCUCACUUAUUUGCGUGCAUUGGAUCUACAUAACACAGGGCUCAAAAAGUUAUCCAGCAGAAUAAGCAGGUUAAAGCAUCUAAGGUACCUAGACCUAUCCCAUACACUAAUUAAGCUUUACCUGACUCAAUUACUUCUCUCUUCAACUUGCAAGUGUUGAACCUUAGUUAUUGUUAUGAUCUUAAAGAGUUGCCCAAAGACAUGAGAAAAAUGAGAAAUCUCAGGCAUCUGUGCGUCGUUGGAUGUUUGGGUUUGAUUCCGAUGCAACCUAAAAUGGGCCAGUUGAGUAACUUCUGCCGGCUGUCAAUGUUUGCUGUGCGUCAGGGGGAUGGAAGUAGCAUGGUAGAACUGCAAAAUCUCAACCCGACCGGUAACUCUCUUGAAAUCAGUGAUCUUCAUGAAGUGAAGGAUCCAAAGGAAGCAAUGCAAGCAAAGUUGGAGGCCAAGACAAACCUGCAGUCCUGGACAUUGUCGUGGAACGGACAUUCGGAUUGGGCACGGACAUCAUCUUCUACAAAAAUGGCGGAGGAUGUGUUUGAAAGGCUCCAACCUCAUCCUAAUUUAAAGGAGUUGACAAUGGUCGGCUACAUGGGCAUCAGAUUACCCACUUGGAUGGCGAGGGCGGAACAAGUGUCAACUUUAUUUUCAAAUCUGGUCGAGCUCAGAUUGUGGGAUCUGAAGUGGUGCGAGCAUCUUCCACCGCUCAGCCAAUUCCCCUCUCUGAAGCGUCUCUUUGUAUCUGGAAUGCAUGCAUUGAGGAAAAUAGAAGAGGAUGGUGGCAACGUGUCCUCGUUAGAAGAGUUCAGAUUAAAAGACAUGCCUGAAUUGGAGGAAUGGCACGUAAAACCAACAACAGAAAUGUUCCCUCAUCUUAGGUUAUUGGACGUCCACUUCUGCCCCAAAUUAAUGGUGCAACCAUGCAUCCCAUGCUCAGUCGAGAAUCUUAUGAUAUCAAGAAAUCAGAUGCUGUUAUCGGAAGGAAGCAUUGGAGGGUCGUCCAAACUGAAAAUACUGUGCAUUUGGAGCUGUGGAAUAUCAUCCCAGUCUGGGUGGUGGGGUGGGCUGCGAUACCUCACUGCCCUUGAGGAUCUACAAAUUUCAUGCUGUUUCGCGCUGAAUUGUUUGCCAGAAGUUGUUAUGUACAUGUCCUCACUCCGCACCCUUUCUUUAAGGAAUAACAGAAAUCUAAAGAGUCUAGAAUGGGGAAGAAUGGAGCCUCUGUUCACUGCCCUCUGCAAUCUGGAGAUAGGGGGGUCCCCCAGAUUGACUGCUUUGCCGCGGUGGGUGGGGGGCCUCACCUCGCUCCAGUUUUUAUCACUUUGGUUUUGUGACAGCCUCGCAAUGCUGCCAGACCUCCCUGCACUUCGAGGUUUGCGCAUUGAGUACUGUCCCCUUCUGGCAAGGCGAUGUGAGAGGGGGAGAGGCGACGACUGGCCCAAGAUUGCUCACAUCCCAAAAAUCAGCAUCUUUGAGAGGGAGAGAGGCGAAGAUAGAGAACAAACCAGCAAAAGAUCUACCUUCGCUGCGAAAUUUGUCAGCAAGUUAUGUUAUGUUAGCAUGCUGCAUUGGUCGAAGUUAAGGUUCCAGUAGCAGCUCCAUUCCGUGGAAGUUCACUCUUUUGGAACGAUCUCAUUGAUCCCAGAAGCUAUCUUUGCAAAACCUAAUAAAUGCACCUCAGACAGGUGAUUGGUUGCUAUAGCUUUUGAGAAAUGUGGGAUGCUAUAUUUGAUAACAUUCAAAGUCUGGUUUUGCUUCAAAAUAACACUAAAAGCUGAUCGAGCAUCCCAACAGACUUGAACAAGUUUCGGCAGGUAUGCUUGAGAGCCUUGCAUAGCUAAAGAAUCUGUCAAAUAUGUAUAUUCCCCCUUUCCUUCUAAGAGACAAUGCAGAAAGGAGAAAUGCAACAUUCAACAUAAGGGAUUGCUUGCAAUUGGACAGACAGGAGAAUCGUCUAUGCUAUAUUCAACAUUGUCUCAGUAAAUACAUUUUUCUGAACCAUCUUGCCAAAGUGUUCUUGCAUAAUUGUUUAUGUUAGACCCAUGCAAAAUCAUUCUAAUGUCUCCCUGAUUCUUGGUCACAUUUUCUGUUAAAUUCUGACAUAGAAUCAACACUAUUGGUAUGAUUAGUGACUUAUUUUAAUACCAGCUUCUUCCUCCAAAAGGUUGUUGUGUCUACUUCAAAUGCUUGAAAUUGAUAUCGAAGAGAGGUAGACUACUGCUCGCAUCUCACACAUCUGCAUUGAAUGAAGAGCAGUAGAAGAGCUGCAUGAUAUGGUUCCUUUCACUAUCUUUCUUUCUUCUUUUUGUUAAAAUAAUGCUACAGUAAGGUGCUUAUUUUUCUUCACCAAAGAAUAUAUUAGAUUUCUCUUUUUAUGCCUUGG